AGAGCAAUCGAAGCAGUGAACUUAAGCCCCAGUAAACGGCGGCCGUAACUAUAACGGUCCUAAGGUAGCGAAAUUCCUUGUCGGGUAAGUGCCGACCCGCACGAAAGGCGUAACGAUUUGGGCACUGGCUCAACAACAGACUCGGUGAAAUUGUAAUUCCGGUGAAGAUGCCGGAUACCUGCGACAGGACGGAAAGACCCCAUGGAGCUUUACUGUAGCUUGACAUUGGGUCUUGGUACUACAUGUACAGGAUAGGUGGGAGGCUUUGAAACCAGGACGCCAGUUUUGGCGGAGCCAUCCUUGGGAUACCACCCUUGUAGUACUGGGACUCUAACCAUAGGCCAUGAAUCUGGUCUUGGGACACUGUCAGGUGGGCAGUUUGACUGGGGCGGUCGCCUCCCAAAAGG
RNAcentral lists this ribosomal RNA (407 nucleotides) under Clostridioides difficile. Its description in RNAcentral is "bacterial LSU rRNA". It matches the Rfam family "Bacterial large subunit ribosomal RNA", at positions 1892 to 2297 of the family's 2925-position model. The record is from RNAcentral. Lineage: Bacteria; Bacillati; Bacillota; Clostridia; Peptostreptococcales; Peptostreptococcaceae.